GUGAGGAAUUUUCCGCAAUGGGCGAAAGCCUGACGGAGCAAUGCCGCGUGAAGGAUGAAGGCCUAUGGGUUGUAAACUUCUUUUCUCAGAAAAGAAUUAUGACGGUAUCUGAGGAAUAAGCAUCGGCUAACUCUGUGCCAGCAGCCGCGGUAAGACAGAGGAUGCAAGCGUUAUCCGGAAUGAUUGGGCGUAAAGCGUCUGUAGGUUGUUUAAAAAGUAUUCUGUCAAAGAUUAGGGCUUAACCCUAGAUAGGCAGAAUAAACUUUUAAGCUAGAGUUUGGUAGAGGCAGAGGGAAUUCCCGGUGGAGCGGUGAAAUGCGUAGAUAUUGGGAGGAACACCAAAGGCGAAGGCACUCUGCUGGGCCAAUACUAACACUGAGAGACGAAAGCGAGGGGAGCAAAUGGGAUUAGAAACCCGGGUAGUCC
RNAcentral lists this ribosomal RNA (426 nucleotides) under uncultured bacterium. RNAcentral's name for it is "partial 16S ribosomal RNA". It matches the Rfam family "Bacterial small subunit ribosomal RNA", at positions 354 to 796 of the family's 1533-position model. The record is from RNAcentral.